Molecule: ribosomal RNA, 745 nt
Filed under: uncultured bacterium
Lineage: Bacteria
Description: bacterial SSU rRNA
Rfam family: Bacterial small subunit ribosomal RNA
Source: RNAcentral
ACGAAGCAAUUUCUUACGAUCCCUUCGGGGUGACGAGUUAUUGACUGAGUGGCGGACGGGUGAGUAACGCGUGGGUAACCUACCUUGUACAGGGGGACAACAGUUGGAAACGACUGCUAAUACCGCAUAAGCGCACAGCAUCGCAUGAUGCAGUGUGAAAAGUUUUUUCGGUACAAGACGGACCCGCGUCUGAUUAGCUAGUUGGUGAGGUAACGGCCCACCAAGGCGACGAUCAGUAGCCGACCUGAGAGGGUGACCGGCCACAUUGGGACUGAGACACGGCCCAAACUCCUACGGGAGGCAGCAGUGGGGAAUAUUGCACAAUGGGCGCAAGCCUGAUGCAGCGACGCCGCGUGAGCGAAGAAGUAUUUCGGUAUGUAAAGCUCUAUCAGCAGGGAAGAUAAUGACGGUACCUGACUAAGAAGCACCGGCUAAAUACGUGCCAGCAGCCGCGGUAAUACGUAUGGUGCAAGCGUUAUCCGGAUUUACUGGGUGUAAAGGGAGCGUAGGCGGUUUUACAAGUCUGAUGUGAAAGCCCGGGGCUCAACUCCGGUAUUGCAUUGGAAACUGUAGAACUAGAGUGUCGGAGGGGUAAGUGGAAUUCCUAGUGUAGCGGUGAAAUGCGUAGAUAUUAGGAGGAACACCAGUGGCGAAGGCGGCUUACUGGACGAUUACUGACGCUGAGGCUCGAAAGCGUGGGGAGCAAACAGGAUUAGAUACCCUGGUAGUCCACGCCGUAAACGAU